GACGAACCGUGCGAACGUUAUUCGGAAUCACUGGGCUUACAGGGUGCGUAGGCGGCUUGUUAAGUAGGGUGUGAAAGCCCCCGGCUCAACCGGGGAAUGGCGCCCUAAACUGGCGAGCUAGAGUGAGAUAGGGGUGUGUGGAACUUCCGGUGGAGCGGUGAAAUGUGUUGAUAUCGGAAGGAACGCCGGUGGCGAAAGCGACACACUGGAUCUUGUCUGACGCUGAGGCACGAAAGCCAGGGGAGCGAACGGG
This 253-nucleotide ribosomal RNA is filed under the name uncultured bacterium. RNAcentral describes it as "partial 16S ribosomal RNA". It matches the Rfam family "Bacterial small subunit ribosomal RNA", at positions 524 to 776 of the family's 1533-position model. The record is from RNAcentral.